Long non-coding RNA from Mauremys reevesii (Reeves's turtle), 550 nucleotides. RefSeq lists it as uncharacterized. NCBI's taxonomy places the organism in Eukaryota, Metazoa, Chordata, Testudines, Geoemydidae. The record is from RefSeq and is a predicted model, not a curated record. The transcript is spliced from 6 exons.
GAAGAACAGAGCCACCAGGGUAAUGAAGGGAAUUGGAGGAGUGAGAAGGACAGGUCCAUCAGAAAUAUGGAGCGGUUGAGGAAUGGGCAAGGGCCACCAGGGAUGGUCCUGAUUCAGCAAGGGGCCUAACUGGAAGCAUGUGAGCAGUGCCAUUGACUUAACUGGGGCUAUUCAUAGAACAUCCGAGGGGAACUGAGAGAAGACAGCUGAGACCAGGCUUGGGAGGAGGCCUAGAAAUAAGGUGCAGAAGUGGUUGAAGGAAUUGAGCUUGGGCAAUGGAGCAGAAUUUGCAAAACAACUAGCAUCAAAUGAGGAUGAGAACAACUGCCAGAACUGAGCUUAUCACCAACAUUUACACAGAAUGGCUGGAUACCUCUUAAAUGUAGAAUCUCGGACAUAAGGAAGGUACAUGGAAGACUGAAUAAUGACUCAGUUUAAUAGUGAUUCAUUUAGACCAUCUCUCCUGCAUCUGGUGAGCGCUGCAUUCCCUAAGCAGACAGAUUCAUCUCAGCUAGACAGAAGUGAUGGGUACUGUACUGUGUGAUGGAGA